RNAcentral lists this ribosomal RNA (60 nucleotides) under Fusarium asiaticum. Its description in RNAcentral is "partial 28S ribosomal RNA". It matches the Rfam family "Eukaryotic large subunit ribosomal RNA", at positions 1 to 59 of the family's 3401-position model. The record is from RNAcentral. Lineage: Eukaryota; Fungi; Ascomycota; Sordariomycetes; Hypocreales; Nectriaceae.
UUGACCUCGGAUCAGGUAGGAAUACCCGCUGAACUUAAGCAUAUCAGUAAGCGGAGGAAA